GUGAAUCAAUCUGCCAUGGGGCAAAAAUUCCCUGGGAGUGAGCAGCAAAGCCUGUGAGACUAAAUCUCUUAAAUGAAAUGAAAUCUAUCUUCAAAGGCUACGCAAAAUUUGAAGAAACAGCAGUGGAAAAGAAUGUUAAAUGCCUUCAUGACAGAAGUGAAGAUUGUAUCUGCACAAUAAACAGAGGAAGCAGAUAUAUUUUGCCAUCUCAGAGUUUUUGUCUAGCAAUUGUGGGACUUCUGGAUCUCCCUCCAAAUCAAAGUGACAAUGAAAGUUCCAGGGAUUGAACUCUGGACCUUCCACUUGCAAGGCAGGCGGCAGAACCACUCAGCUAAAUCCCUGACCCUUUACCAUUCCUUUUGAAAUAUAAUUAAACUCUUCUCUAAAAUCCCUGACUGUAACCAAGACUUUUAUUAUAAAAUUAUUUUUACUGUUUCCUAUUAAAAUAUUGCCUGUUCCUUAAACAACUUUUG
RNAcentral lists this long non-coding RNA (473 nucleotides) under Heterocephalus glaber (naked mole-rat). RNAcentral's name for it is "lncRNA (ENSHGLG00100039654.1)". The record is from RNAcentral. Lineage: Eukaryota; Metazoa; Chordata; Mammalia; Rodentia; Bathyergidae.